GGCUUAACACAUGCAAGUCGAGGGGCAGCAUGGUCUUAGCUUGCUAAGGCCGAUGGCGACCGGCGCACGGGUGAGCAACACGUAUCCAACCUGCCGUCUACUCUUGGACAGCCUUCUGAAAGGAAGAUUAAUACAAGAUGGCAUCAUGAGUCCGCAUGUUCACAUGAUUAAAGGUAUUCCGGUAGACGAUGGGGAUGCGUUCCAUUAGAUAGUAGGCGGGGUAACGGCCCACCUAGUCUUCGAUGGAUAGGGGUUCUGAGAGGAAGGUCCCCCACAUUGGAACUGAGACACGGUCCAAACUCCUACGGGAGGCAGCAGUGAGGAAUAUUGGUCAAUGGGCGCAGGCCUGAACCAGCCAAGUAGCGUGAAGGAUGACUGCCCUAUGGGUUGUAAACUUCUUUUAUAAAGGAAUAAAGUCGGGUAUGUAUACCCGUUUGCAUGUACUUUAUGAAUAAGGAUCGGCUAACUCCGUGCCAGCAGCCGCGGUAAUACGGAGGAUCCGAGCGUUAUCCGGAUUUAUUGGGUUUAAAGGGAGCGUAGAUGGAUGUUUAAGUCAGUUGUGAAAGUUUGCGGCUCAACCGUAAAAUUGCAGUUGAUACUGGAUAUCUUGAGUGCAGUUGAGGCAGGCGGAAUUCGUGGUGUAGCGGUGAAAUGCUUAGAUAUCACGAAGAACUCCGA
Molecule: ribosomal RNA, 678 nt
Filed under: uncultured Bacteroidales bacterium
Lineage: Bacteria; Pseudomonadati; Bacteroidota; Bacteroidia; Bacteroidales
Description: bacterial SSU rRNA
Rfam family: Bacterial small subunit ribosomal RNA
Source: RNAcentral